GACGAACGCUGGCGGCGUGCUUAACACAUGCAAGUCGAACGAAGUUGCGAACGGGUGAGUAACGCGUAAUCAACCUGCCCUUCAGAGGGGGACAACAGUUGGCCACGACUGCUAAUACCUCAUACUGAAGGAGGGGAUUGCGUCGGAUUAGCUAGUUGGAGGGGUAACGGCCUACCAAGGCGAUGACCAGUAGCCGGGCUGGGAGGGUGAACGGGCACAUUGGGACGGAGACACGGCCCAGACUGCUACGGGAGGCAGCAGUGGGGAAUCGUCCGCAAUGGAGGAAAGUCUGACGGAGCAACGCCGCGUGAGGGAUGACGGCCUUCGGGUUGUAAAGCUCUGUUAAUCGGGACGCGGUACCGGAAGAGAAAGCCACGGCUAACUACGUGCCAGCCGCCGCGGUAAUAC
Molecule: ribosomal RNA, 408 nt
Filed under: uncultured bacterium
Lineage: Bacteria
Description: partial 16S ribosomal RNA
Rfam family: Bacterial small subunit ribosomal RNA
Source: RNAcentral